GGACCUCCCUCUGUUCAGCAUAUGAGGCCUUGGGUGGCCUUUGAGCAAUUUGCAGCCUUUUGUUAUCAAAUAAAGGCUCUCUGAGCCUCCUACUUGAGCACUGAGUUUACCAGCUGCUAUCCACUCCUGGAGCUCAUUAGGGGCCUGCUGUUCUGCUGAGAACCACACCACAUGCUCUGCCCCGCGCUGGCGGCGGAUUAGCCUGUUGCUGCUCCUUAAAUUACCAGGAUCUCAGAGCAGUACCAUGAGAUGUACCAGCCACUCUAGAGUACAUGUGAGUAUAAAUGUGUGUUG
RNAcentral lists this long non-coding RNA (294 nucleotides) under Cyanistes caeruleus (blue tit). RNAcentral describes it as "lncRNA (ENSCCEG00000015926.1)". The record is from RNAcentral. Lineage: Eukaryota; Metazoa; Chordata; Aves; Passeriformes; Paridae.